This 253-nucleotide ribosomal RNA is filed under the name uncultured bacterium. RNAcentral describes it as "partial 16S ribosomal RNA". It matches the Rfam family "Bacterial small subunit ribosomal RNA", at positions 524 to 776 of the family's 1533-position model. The record is from RNAcentral.
UACGGGGGGGGUAAGCGUUGUUCGGAAUUACUGGGCGUAAAGGGCUCGUAGGCGGCCAACUAAGUCGGACGUGAAAUCCCUCAGCUUAACUGGGGAACUGCGUCCGAUACUGGAUGGCUUGGAUUUGGGAGAGGGAUGCGGAAUUCCAGGUGUAGCGGUGAAAUGCGUAGAGAUCAUGAGGAAGACCAGUGGCGAAGGCGGGUCUCUGGACAGUUCCUGACACUGAGACACGAAGGCCAGGGGAGCAAACGGG